Molecule: unclassified non-coding RNA, 148 nt
Organism: Macaca mulatta (Rhesus monkey)
Lineage: Eukaryota; Metazoa; Chordata; Mammalia; Primates; Cercopithecidae
Rfam family: Metazoan signal recognition particle RNA
About the family: The signal recognition particle (SRP) is a universally conserved ribonucleoprotein. It is involved in the co-translational targeting of proteins to membranes. The eukaryotic SRP consists of a 300-nucleotide 7S RNA and six proteins: SRPs 72, 68, 54, 19, 14, and 9.
Source: Ensembl
GCUGGGCGUGGUGUCACACGCCUAUAAUCCCAGCUACUCAGGAGGCAGAGGCAUGAGAAUCACUUGAGUCCAGGAGAUCAAGGCUGCAGUGAGCCAAGAUCGCACCACUGUACUCCGGCCUGGGCAACACAGUGAGACCCUGCCUCAA